This 390-nucleotide ribosomal RNA is filed under the name uncultured bacterium. RNAcentral's name for it is "bacterial SSU rRNA". It matches the Rfam family "Bacterial small subunit ribosomal RNA", at positions 29 to 420 of the family's 1533-position model. The record is from RNAcentral.
AUUGAACGCUGGCGGCAUGCCUUACACAUGCAAGUCGAACGGCAGCGCGGGAGCAAUCCUGGCGGCGAGUGGCGAACGGGUGAGUAAUAUAUCGGAACGUGCCCAGUAGUGGGGGAUAGCCCGGCGAAAGCCGGAUUAAUACCGCAUACGACCUGAGGGUGAAAGCGGGGGAUCGCAAGACCUCGCGCUAUUGGAGCGGCCGAUAUCAGAUUAGCUAGUUGGUGGGGUAAAGGCCUACCAAGGCAACGAUCUGUAGUUGGUCUGAGAGGACGACCAGCCACACUGGGACUGAGACACGGCUCAGACUCCUACGGGAGGCAGCAGUGGGGAAUUUUGGACAAUGGGCGCAAGCCUGAUCCAGCAAUGCCGCGUGCAGGAAGAAGGCCUCGG